AUCAUCAUUAUCACCACACCGCUGUCCGAAACCCCAAAAUGGCCGACGAAUCGAUAAUCCAUCGAAUCCAGACAGACCCAAACCCUCUUCUCCCCUCCCGUCCCCUCCCUCCUCCACAAAUUGAAACAUUUCAAAAAAUUGAAACCCUCAACAGUAGAUUAGAGUAGAUGCGUAUAAUUAUUAAUGGAAGAAAGAAUUCUAUUUCUAUAUUUGUCGUGCAUGCAUUUUGUUCGCCCCUCUGUUUUCGCCUGCAUGCACACCCCUUUUCUCUCUCCUCACUCGCUUUCUCUCUCUUGAUAUAUAGAUAUAUAUAUAUAUCCUUUCAGUGUCUCCCCUUCAUCCCCUGUCUUCUCUUUUUUUCUUUUUUGGAUUUUUUUUUUGGGGUUUCUAUUUUAAUCAAUCUGUUGUUUUUCUGGGCGUGUGUCGGAAUUGGGGCACCGACCACCGACUGCCGCCGUCGGAGCUGUUUGAUUUAUUUUCUUUCUCAAUCUGGGGUUUCCUUUGUUUCUCGGUUUCAUUUUCCCCCUUUCGAUUGGAGAUUUACAGUUUGGGGAUACGGAUUUUUUGCUUCUAGUUAGCAUGCGGACGUCGGGUUUUGCGGAUUCGAACGAGGUGGAUUGAACGAUGGUUUCGUUUCCUCUGCAGUGAAGUCGCUGAAUUUCAUCUUGGGAAUCGCAGCGGUUUUGAUUAUCGAUUGUUGUCUAAUUCCUUCGAUCUGCGUCGGGAAGAUUUGAUUUAAUUGAAUCUCGAUUGGGUGGUUUCUAGGGUUUUGACUUCGAUUGUUCUGCUUCUCUUGAUUUGGGGGUUUAAUCAAAUGGGGUCGAAGAACUGCAUGAACGAGGCGUGUCGCGCUACGACGUCGUCUGAUUGGAAGAAAGGCUGGGGAUUGAAAUCCGGCGCAUUCGCUACACUCUGUGUCAACUGCGGAUCUGCCUAUGAGAAUUUUGUAUUUUGUGAGACAUUCCACUCGGAGGAGUCCGGUUGGAGGGAAUGUAAACUAUGCCGGAAGCUUAUUCAUUGUGGAUGUAUUGCUUCGAAGAGCCUAUAUGAAUUCAUGGAUUUCGGGGGUAUUAUGUGCCAGAGCUGUUGUUCUAAGCGUUUGGAAAUUCGUCCUGUGCUGCCAAUACAGGUUCCAAGUGACAUUCCCAAAAUCACAUUAGUAGCAAACGGCAUCAAAGAUGUGCAUCAUGUGCCCGUCGAGAAUAGAGUUAAUGAUGACAACAAAUUCAGCACCGAGAGGCUUAUGCAGCUGACCAAGGCUAUACGCGUCAACGAUGUGGCUUCGGCCCUUGAACAACAUAAACGGAGUGAGCUUUUGGUCAAACCACCCGUUGAAAGCAGUCAUCGCGUACCAAACCUCUCCCAGCAUUUUACUACUCCAUCUCCUCUCGCCAAACCAGACAACAGACCAAAACAAGUGGUUAAGGAUAUGUUUGAAUCUCUUUCUCAGCCAUCACUGAAUUUCUCUCUGACCACUGCUUUAGGUAGUCCGGCUACAGUGCAGUCUUUUUCCGGCGGGAUCAUCGAGAGAAAUGAUCAAAGCAAAGGCUCUUUCCAGCAUGGACCGAAAAUGCGCAAUAAUUAUCCAAAGCCCCCAAAAUCAAGCCCCGUAGCUGGUCCAGAAACAAAUAAAGGACAAGCUUCACAAACGCGUGUAGCCAGGCCCCCUGCUGACGGGAGGGGCCGUAAUCAGUUGCUCCCUCGGUACUGGCCAAGGGUCACCGAUCAAGAAUUGCAGCAACUAUCUGGAGAUUUAAAAUCCAAUAUCGUACCAUUGUUCGAGAAGAUUCUAAGUGCCAGUGAUGCUGGUCGUAUCGGCCGACUCGUUCUUCCUAAAGCAUGUGCUGAAGCAUACUUCCCGGCUAUCAACCAAUCAGAAGGUAUACCAAUAAAGAUUCAAGAUGUAACGAGCAAAGAAUGGACAUUCCAAUUCAGGUUUUGGCCAAAUAAUAACAGCCGGAUGUACGUUCUCGAAGGCGUGACUCCUUGCAUUCAAAAUAUGAACUUACAAGCUGGCGACACAGUGAUAUUCAGCCGGAGUGAACCCACGGGACAACUUGUGAUAGGUUGCCGUAAGACUGCUGAAACUGAUGCUUCAAUGACUUCCCUUCCAAAUGGUGAUUCUCGAGAAGGAAAACAAUCCGAUUACCAUGCAAAUGGAGGCAAGGGGUUAGAUGAUUCUCGCAUGACAGCAUCGGAGAAGAAAAGAGCAAGAAACAUUAAGAACCAGAGGCUUCAUAUGCACAAUGAUGAUGCUAUGGAGUUAAGAAUCACAUGGGAUGAAGCACAGGAGUUGUUUCGUCCACCUCCAUCUGCUGAACCAACUGUAGUUAUGGUUGAUGGCCAUGAAUUUGAAGAAUUUGAAGAAGCUCCGGUUUUUGGAAAGAGAACAAUAUUUGUCUCUCGACCUUCAGGUGAACAAGAGCAACUGGCUCAAUGCGACAAAUGCUUGAAAUGGAGGAGAUUGCCUGUGAAUAUUCUUCUUUCGUCAACGUGGACUUGUGCAGACAAUAGUUCAGAUUUGAAAAGAAGCUCAUGUUCUGCCCCCGAGGAAAUAAAUCCUAGAGAUCUUGAUUUAUCGAGCAUUAACCAUGAUUUGAAGAAACGUCGAGUUUCAGAGAAGCCAACAAAAGAAGACGGCGAGCCAUCAGGUCUUGAUGCACUAGCAACUGCCGCAGCUCUCGGCGACAACUUACCCGACUUCGCCGCCGAGUCAUCCUCCGCGGGGGCCACAACCACCCGCCACCCCCGCCACCGCCCCGGGUGCACCUGCAUCGUCUGCAGCCAGCCCCCGAGUGGGAAGGGCAAGCACGAGCCGACGUGCAAGUGCAACGUCUGCCUGACCGUCCGCCGCCGUUUCAAAACGCUAAUGAUGCGUAAGAAGAAACGACAGUCGGAACGCGAAGCUGCCGCCGAAGUGAAGGAGGACGCCGCUUCCAAUACAAAAACCGAACCCGACAGGAAAGACGCUGCUGCUGUUUCGCUCCCGAGUGCGGAAAACGGGACGAACCAGAUAUCGAAUGCGGGGAAUUCUGAAAAUGGGGCGAUCCGAAUGGAGAUUGACGGGGCGAAGAAGGACGGGGAGCUGGACUUGAAUACGGACCCGGGGCUUAACCGGGUGGGUUUGGCUGCGCUGGCGAAUAUGUGCUCGGAGCAAAACGAGAGCGGCGGUGCCGGGGCUGGGAAUGUGGAAGCUCAGCCCUGUGGAGAAAAUGGAGGUGAGGAAGGAGGAGGGAAUGUGGAGCAGGCGAAGGAGGGAUGAAGGCGAGGCUGCGGUUGAUUUAUGAAAGAUCAUCAUGGUGCUGAUUUGGGAUGUCGUGGGAUUUAAUCCAACUUAUUCAUCUGAUGCAGGUGCAGCACAAUGGUCCCGAACACACCCGGCCCGAACCCGACAAGAUCCAUUCAUUCUACGCUCCGGAGCACAGCGGUCUCAAACAGGCCCGGCCCGGCCCGGCCCAAACAAUAGAUGACCCAUGAUCCAGAUGGAACUACAAGUGUAUUUUCUUCCGAUGGCUUUGUGGGCACGACCAAGGGUGGCGCACCUGAAAAUCUAAUAAAGAGCAAUGAGAAGUAAUGGCAUAUUGGCAACCAAACAGA
RNA transcript from Andrographis paniculata, 3597 nucleotides. It is a transcript of the gene named B3 domain-containing transcription repressor VAL1-like, with no coding region annotated. Lineage: Eukaryota; Viridiplantae; Streptophyta; Magnoliopsida; Lamiales; Acanthaceae. The transcript is spliced from 16 exons. The record is from RefSeq and is a predicted model, not a curated record.